Long non-coding RNA from Antechinus flavipes (yellow-footed antechinus), 1323 nucleotides. RefSeq lists it as uncharacterized. NCBI's taxonomy places the organism in Eukaryota, Metazoa, Chordata, Mammalia, Dasyuromorphia, Dasyuridae. The record is from RefSeq and is a predicted model, not a curated record. The transcript is spliced from 4 exons.
ACUCUCUUCUAUCUAGAGAUUCUUUCCUUUUCUAAUACCAUAAGAUCCUGUGGAGUUUGCCUUCCUCAGACAAGAUAUUCCAUCUCCUAAUGCAAAGGCUAAUUUUCAACUUCCAAACAAGUGUUCUGAAGCACUUAAAGGGUCUCCAGCUUUGAAGAAGUUGGCAGCUUCAAACCCUUACAGACUUUGGCUAAGAAAAUGUAUAAACAUGACAAGCCCCAGAAUUCUGAGCAAGGAUACAACCACUUCCUCCACCUGCAGUUCCUUUUUCCAGACUCUAAAUCAUGAAAUUCCAACAACAUGGUCAACCUGAAAUCACCUGAUAACCUGAUUCUGACAUUCAGCACUGGACGCUGCUGGUGCCGCUGCAAGUUGCUUGUCUCCCUUCUCAGUCUAGACCCCCACUGGGCAAGGAUAGCUCUAAGACCCUUUUCAUCCUGAAGCAGCUCUAGAAGAUGAGACCUCUAUCCCUUUGUUCCAAAUUAUUUUGGGUAUAACUGCUUGAAGGGGAAAAAAUUAUAUAACAUGAUUUUGUGGUCCCUGACCUUGUGGAGCUUCUGUUUUGAUGCGUCAGUAGUCCUAGGUCUUUUCUAGCUUUAGAAUCUGCCUCAGAAAACUCACACACCCAAGUUAUCUGAUUCUGACCACUCCUUAGCCAGAUAAUUUCUGGUCUCAGGAAGCUCCCACAGAUCAAAACUCCUGAGACAAUAGUGAAUAAAACCACUUUAAUAUAUUGCUGACUGGUAAUCUUGUCAGUAAUAAUCUGAUCAACCAAGAAGCUCUCCUUCCAGAGACUAGUUCUUCCUACUGUGAGCCAUAGAAUUUGCAUAUUUAUGAUUGAAAGCUGUGUAAGUGUAUCUCCUUGCUUCUGUUUUUUACUGGAUUCCUUUAGAAUUCAGUCUGCUUUGUAAUGGCAUUAUAUUGCAAUAAAGCUUUGCCCCUUGACUAGGAAAAAAAAAAAAAAAGAAAAGAAAAGAAAAGAAUAUGAUUUCAAAGGGAACUCAUUAACCAAUUUUGAUCUUAAAAUGACAUGUAAAGAAGAUGGAAUUAAGGUUAGGUUUUUUUCUUGGUGUAAGAGGAACAAAACUAAGAUUAUUGCUAAUCCUGUCUUGAACCAGCCCUGAAAGCAAAAGAUGAAGAGUUACAUUUCUUGGUAACCACACUCCCUGACUAGACAUUCAUCCUAUCCAAGGAAAUUUUUCUCUACAAUAAUCAUGCAAAUCAAAAUCACCCUUAUUUAUGUCAUACCACCAGGGAAAGAUCAGGAAGCCACUAUCAGAUGGGCUUUCAAGUAUGAGUGCUUACAGAUCUUGGUGAGCACUA